Molecule: ribosomal RNA, 253 nt
Filed under: uncultured bacterium
Lineage: Bacteria
Description: partial 16S ribosomal RNA
Rfam family: Bacterial small subunit ribosomal RNA
Source: RNAcentral
UACGGAGGGUGCAAGCGUUAUCCGGAUUCACUGGGCUUAAAGGGUGCGUAGGCGGUCAGGUAAGUCAGUGGUGAAAUCUUUGGGCUUAACCCGAAAACUGCCAUUGAUACUAUCUGUCUUGAAUAUUGUGGAGGUUUGCGGAAUAUGUCAUGUAGCGGUGAAAUGCUUAGAUAUGACAUAGAACACCUAUUGCGAAGGCAGCAAACUACGCAUAUAUUGACGCUGAGGCACGAAAGCGUGGGGAUCAAACAGG